This 1667-nucleotide unclassified non-coding RNA is filed under the name Neodiprion lecontei (redheaded pine sawfly). Its description in RNAcentral is "tRNA dimethylallyltransferase, transcript variant X1". Lineage: Eukaryota; Metazoa; Arthropoda; Insecta; Hymenoptera; Diprionidae. The record is from RNAcentral.
GGUGUGUGGGUGUGACGGCGGUGCGCGAAAAGGCGAUCGAAAGCACGUUAUGACGUCGCGCGUGCCGAUUCUUGUGAUUUUGGGAGCAACGGGAACCGGGAAAUCGAAACUGGCCAUUCAACUCGCCCAGAAGUACUGCGGCGAAAUUAUUUCCGCUGACAGCAUGCAGGUCUACAAAGGGUUGGACGUGAUUACAGCGAAGGUAACCAAAGAGGAGCAAGCCAUGGCUCCGCACCAUAUGCUCGACGUCGUGGAUCCCUUGUCGACGUUCUCGGUCGUUGAUUUCAGGAACAGAGCAUUGCCUGUUAUAGACAAGCUCCUGAGUGUCGGAAAGGUGCCAAUAAUCGUCGGCGGGACGAAUUAUUACAUAGAAUCUCUGCUGUGGCAGGUGCUCAUCGAGGAUCCAAAGGAUACGGCGAUCGACGAGCCGUGUUCUUCCUUAGUUUUCGACCGCGACGAUGGUUUCGUGAAUAUGCGAGGUAGUGAUGUUGUUAAAUCGGAUCGUGCGACGAGUGUUGUCGUGGUUGACGAUGAAAAUCGUAGUGCAGUGGGUGAAAAUCGGGUGAGUGAUGUGUGCGAAAGUGAAACACAGGAAUACGAAAGUGCCGAUAUCGACGCCCCGGCUUCGAAGAAGAUCAAAUUCGACGACGCAAUCAGCACCGACGAGCUGCACCGGAAGCUCAGAGAAGUUGACGCAACAAUGGCUGACAGAUUGCAUCCGAAUGACCGGCGAAAAAUUAUAAGAUCGCUGCAGGUCUUCGAUCAGUUUGGUACGAAACAUUCCGAAAUUUUAAGGGAGCAGCAACUUGCCGGGGGUUCCGGCCUCGGAGGUCCGCUUCGCUAUCACAACUCCGUCAUACUGUGGUUGCAAUGCGACCAGAACAAUACCAAUCAAUGCAGAAAUUAUUUGGGAUUGAGGCAAAGCUUAUACGCGGUGUUGGACAAAAGACUCGACCACAGAGUAGAUUCGAUGCUGAAGGCAGGAUUAGUCGAGGAACUGCUGGAUUUUCACCGCAGAUACAACGAGGGAAGGAUUAAGGAAAAUGCACUACCCGAUUACACGAAAGGGAUCUUUCAGAGCAUCGGUUUCAAGGAGUUUCACGACUACUUGAUCCUACCCGAGGAUCAGAGAAGCUCCGAUAUGGGUGGAAAACUGCUGAAACUAGGUAUCGAGAAUUUAAAACUACGCACAAGGCGAUACGCUAGGAGGCAGCAGCGAUGGGUGACGAAUCGAUUCAUACGCCGAUUCGACAGGCAGGUGCCCCCGGUUUAUCCCUUGGACUGCACAGACGUAGCUCAGUGGGAUCAGAAAGUUCUGGGACCUGCGAUGUCCAUAAUAACCGACAGGCUUGAGGGUCAAACGCCCAGCCAUAAAUCCCUGAACAACAAUAAGACUGAAAACUUCGCGAUACCUGACAGCAACACCGAGCGAACUCGCUAUUGCGAAGUAAUUUUCACCUUACGGUUUUCAUUUGAUCAUAAAAAGAGAGAAAUUUUGGCCGUCACUUCUUCCGUCAGAUAAAAUUCAGACGUGCGAGAGGGUCUUCGUCGGCGACUUUCAAUGGAAGGCGCACAUGGAAGGCAAGAAGCAUCAGAGAGUGGCGAAACGAAAGAAGAUAAACCAAUUGAUGCAGGAUCCAAAGUAGCCGAAAGGAAUCGUACGUGAU